GAUGAACGCUAGCGGGAGGCCUAACACAUGCAAGCCGAGCGGUAGAGAUUCUUCGGAAUCUUGAGAGCGGCGUACGGGUGCGGAACACGUGUGCAACCUACCUUUAUCUGGAGGAUAGCCUUUCGAAAGGAAGAUUAAUACUCCAUAAUAUAUUGAUUGGCAUCGAUUGAUAUUGAAAGCUCCGGCGGAUAGAGAUGGGCACGCGCAAGAUUAGCUAGUUGGUGAGGUAACGGCUCACCAAGGCGAUGAUCUUAGGGGCCUGAGAGGGUGAUCCCCACACUGGUACUGAGACACGGACCAGACUCCUACGGGAGGCAGCAGUGAGGAAUAUUGGUCAAUGGGUGCAAGCCUGAACCAGCCAUCCCGCGUGAAGGUCGACUGCCCUAUGGGUUGUAAACUUCUUUUGUAUAGGGAUAAACCUACCCUCGUGAGGGUAGCUGAAGGUACUAUACGAAUAAG
Molecule: ribosomal RNA, 459 nt
Filed under: uncultured bacterium
Lineage: Bacteria
Description: bacterial SSU rRNA
Rfam family: Bacterial small subunit ribosomal RNA
Source: RNAcentral